This 744-nucleotide non-coding RNA is filed under the name Mantura chrysanthemi. The record is from RNAcentral. Lineage: Eukaryota; Metazoa; Arthropoda; Insecta; Coleoptera; Chrysomelidae.
AUAAAGUUUUAUUUUAGCUUAAAGGUUAAGUUUUAAUUUUUAUUAUAUGUAAAAUUUUAUUAAAAAAUUAUUUGCAGUAUUUAAAUUUAAUUAUUUAAGAAAUUAAGAAUUAGAAAUAUUAUUAAAUAUAAACAAAAUUUGUGCCAGCAGUUGCGGUUAUACAAAUUAUAUAAUUUAAUUUUAUUAAUUUUAAUUAAUUAAUAAUAUAAAUUUUAAUAUAAAAUUUAUUAGGUGAAAUUUUAAAUUUUAAUAAAAUUUUUUAUAGAUAAUGAUUUAAUAAGUUUAAUUUGUAAACUAGGAUUAGAUACCCUAUUAUUUUAAAUGUAAUUUAUAAAAUUUAAUUAGUAUUAGUUAUGGUCUUGAAAAUUAAAAAUUUUGGCGGUAUUUUAGUCUUUUCAGAGGAACCUGUUCUAUAAAUGAUAGUCCACGAUUCAAUUAACUUUUUCUUUAAAUUUAUAUAUCGUCGUAAUUUAAAUAUUUUUUUAGAAUUUUAAUAUUUAAAAUUUUUAAUAAAAAAUUAAAUCAGAUCAAGGUGUAGUUUAUGAAAAAGUAGAAAUGGGUUACAAUAAAUUUAUUUUAGGAUUAAUAUUUUUAUAUUAUUAUGAAUUUGGAUUUGAAAGUAAUUUUAAUUAGUUUAUUAGAAUGAUUUUAGCUCUAAAAUAUGUACAUAUUGCCCGUCACUUUCAUUUAAUAUGAAAUAAGUCGUAACAAAGUAGAUUUACUGGAAAGUAAAUCUAGAGUCAA